RNAcentral lists this ribosomal RNA (97 nucleotides) under Acanthosepion pharaonis. Lineage: Eukaryota; Metazoa; Mollusca; Cephalopoda; Sepiida; Sepiidae. The record is from RNAcentral.
UUGAAAUAUUGGUUCCCAUACAAUCACCAAAGUUAAGCAACAUCGAGUCUUGUCAGUAUCUAGAUGGGUGACCACUUGGGAAUACCAGGUGCUGUAU